Molecule: non-coding RNA, 135 nt
Organism: Triticum aestivum (bread wheat)
Lineage: Eukaryota; Viridiplantae; Streptophyta; Magnoliopsida; Poales; Poaceae
Source: Rfam
AAGAUACUCUCUCCAUUCUGAAUUACUUGUUUUGGAUUUGUCUAUAUACGGAUGUAUCUAGCACUAAAAUGAGUCUAGAUACAUGCAUAUCUAGACAAAUCCAAGACAAGUAAUUCGGAACGGAGGGAGUAGUUG